This 18-nucleotide non-coding RNA is filed under the name Arabidopsis thaliana (thale cress). Lineage: Eukaryota; Viridiplantae; Streptophyta; Magnoliopsida; Brassicales; Brassicaceae. The record is from RNAcentral.
AGCUGCCAGCAUGAUCUA